This 1713-nucleotide long non-coding RNA is filed under the name Amphimedon queenslandica. RNAcentral's name for it is "uncharacterized LOC109589060". The record is from RNAcentral. Lineage: Eukaryota; Metazoa; Porifera; Demospongiae; Haplosclerida; Niphatidae.
CAAUCGUAUGCUGUAAGAGAUCGGGUGGAUUUGUCUCAAACAUCUGAAGAGCCAAAUCUCUAUUCCAAAAAGCCUGUGUCUGAGUUGCCCAUCGAUAAUUUAUUGCCAUCAGUCUCAGAUGACCAGGCUCUCAUCAGUAACAUGUCUACUUUAAUUGGCUGUGUCUUAAUUUCAGAAUUGUUAUAUUUUUCUCAUACCUUCUCAGAUGUUGUUCUCAAACACAUUGAGCAUCAUCAAUAUAGCAACAUGUCUAAGAAGUCCGAAACGGUUCCACUUGGUAUCAUUUUUAGAAUGAAAAUGUUGUUGAAGACAUGAUUGAUAUCAUGCUAGAACUUCAUAAAUAUGUGCCAUGCGAGAAGAAGACUAAAGUGGAUGCAAGUAGUGGUUGUGAAGUGCCAUGUGAUGUUCAACACAGUAUCUUAUUUGGAGGGGACCAGUUAACUAGAAAACGAGCUGAGACUGCAAAAGAUGCACGGCAAAACAGUCCCUACCAAAUUAAAAGGUCUGAUUCCUGUUUGUAAAGACUGGCACGCAAAGAAGAUUUUUUUGGAGGUGUUGUAGUUGUAAUAACGAUGAUUACCUUUAAUGAUUAUCAUGGUUGUAGAUGAUAUGGAAGUGGCUGUAUGAUAACAAGAGCUUUUUGGAGAAAGGCACUCUAUAUGUCAACUGCGAAACCUUAUUGACCAUAGAAAAAUUUCAGCCUCUGCCUCGGAUGAUUUUAAUGCAUGUGAUGACUACUUUUUGUAACGGUUGUACAAUGCCAUAUUGUUUCUGCAGCCAUGAAUCUGUUAAAAAUGAAAGCCACAUCAGAUAAGCCAGACCAUGUGUUGCUUUAUGGAUCAAAUUGAAAGACGAUAGGAAACUGGUACUCGCUCAAGUUACAAAGGAGAUAUGUCUUAAAUAUGUAGACAUAUUGGCACAUCAUAAUCUAGAAGAAGAUAUUCAAGGAGAUGGAGUAAAAGCAUAUGCUGUUCAAAUAUUGUCACAGGGUCUGUUAUACAUGGAGUUCAGAUGCUAUUUGUGAAGGGGAUGGGUAUAGGAUUCUUAGAUGUUGGCGUUAUCUCAUGCUUGUGUUCCGGUCAAGACAAAGAAAGAACUACUGCAUUAAAGGACUAAACCUAUUGGCUCAAUUCCAUUUCUACUUAAAUGAAAGGCAGUCCCACCAAUUGAUCUGGUCUAGGUGCAUAAAUAUCCAUGGAUUACCAGGACAGAAUGUACCCUGUGAUUUGUUUUUAGAGCAUCUCAACAAAAUAUGUAAGCUGGCAAUAGAGACUUUAGGAAGCAACUUUUCAGAAAAGGCAUUGGAGCAUGUUGGACACUGUGUGGGAAUUCUGGAUGGUCUUUUCGACCAAUUUGAUAGUGAUUUCUGUAUCGACAAACUAUCCGGAAGACAUAUGCUGGCUGAUUCAGAAAAAGAAUAAUUAAUGAGCUAGUCGAAGCAAACGUAUUCUCGUAUGCCCAAAAUAGGGAACAUAAAUCAUUUAAAUCUAUAAAAACUAAUAUCAUGUCAUCAUUGCACUACAAUCAAAAAUUUCAUAAAUGGAUAGCACAGCAACUCUUCUCUAUAAAAACUAAAUUCAUUUAACAUGACAAGUAACAAUCUAGUUAAUACAUGUGCAUGAAUCUAAAUACUUUAUCUCUAAAGUAAAAUAUUCAAUAAAAGUAAGAAUAAUGAUAAUAAAUUCCAAAAAGUAAAAUGCUAUUGAUUGAACA